RNAcentral lists this transfer RNA (74 nucleotides) under Podarcis lilfordi (Lilford's wall lizard). It matches the Rfam family "tRNA". From Rfam's summary of the family: Transfer RNA (tRNA) molecules are approximately 80 nucleotides in length. Their secondary structure includes four short double-helical elements and three loops (D, anti-codon, and T loops). The record is from Rfam by way of RNAcentral. Lineage: Eukaryota; Metazoa; Chordata; Lepidosauria; Squamata; Lacertidae.
GCCUGUGUGGUGCAUUGGGUCCGUGCAUCUGGCUGUUAACCAGAAGGUUGGUGGUUCAAGCCCACCCAGGGACG